This 73-nucleotide transfer RNA is filed under the name Pseudomonas extremaustralis. RNAcentral's name for it is "tRNA_Thr_CGT". It matches the Rfam family "tRNA". Rfam says of the family: Transfer RNA (tRNA) molecules are approximately 80 nucleotides in length. Their secondary structure includes four short double-helical elements and three loops (D, anti-codon, and T loops). RNAcentral also lists the same sequence under 1 other name. The record is from RNAcentral. Lineage: Bacteria; Pseudomonadati; Pseudomonadota; Gammaproteobacteria; Pseudomonadales; Pseudomonadaceae.
GCCCGUGUAGCUCAGUUGGUAGAGCAGCGCGCUCGUAACGCGAAGGUCGCAGGUUCGACUCCUGUCUCGGGCA